GAUGAACGCUGGCGGCGUGCCUAAUACAUGCAAGUCGAGCGAACGGACGAGAAGCUUGCUUCUCUGAUGUUAGCGGCGGACGGGUGAGUAACACGUGGAUAACCUACCUAUAAGACUGGGAUAACUUCGGGAAACCGGAGCUAAUACCGGAUAAUAAUUUGAACCGCAUGGUUAAAAAGUGAAAGACGGUCUUGCUGUCCCUUAUAGAUGGAUCCGCGCUGCUUUAGCUAGUUGGGAAGGUAACGGCUUACCAAGGCAACGAUGCAUAGCCGACAUGAGAGGGUGAUCGGCCAAACUGGAACUGGGAAACGGUCAAGACUACUCCGGGAGGCAGCAGUAGGGAAUCUUCCGCAAUGGGCGAAAGCCUGACGGAGCAACGCCGCGUGAGUGAUGAAGGUCUUCGGAUCGUAAAACUCUGUUAUUAGGGAAGAACAUAUGUGUAAGUAACUGUGCACAUCUUGACGGUACCUAAUCAGAAAGCCACGGCUAACUACGUG
This 497-nucleotide ribosomal RNA is filed under the name uncultured bacterium. RNAcentral's name for it is "partial 16S ribosomal RNA". It matches the Rfam family "Bacterial small subunit ribosomal RNA", at positions 28 to 507 of the family's 1533-position model. The record is from RNAcentral.